Molecule: long non-coding RNA, 5118 nt
Filed under: Brachypodium distachyon (stiff brome)
Lineage: Eukaryota; Viridiplantae; Streptophyta; Magnoliopsida; Poales; Poaceae
Description: long non-coding RNA (BDIS_LNC002186)
Source: RNAcentral
GACCACAAGAGCAAUGCUACACCUGGGCCAUCUCCACGGCCCACUCGAGCCCAUCGUUUACCUGCACGGCCUGCAGGCCGAGAGUGGCUUCGCUGAAGCCUCUAAUACUCUAGUACUUAACCAUUGUCGAACCUGGUUGCCGGCUUAGGAAAGGAAUGGCUAGGCUAGGCUUAUUUGGAACAUGAACUCGUUGUGUGGGUGGUUGGGAGGAUAAUCACAGCUACCAAAUAUUCCAAUUCGUGAUCCAAUUCGUGUUCAUCUUGUGAGAUUUAGUUCAGGUGCUCACAAUCUGGUAUCAGAGCCGUACCAUCCUGGAUUUUCCCCACCACCGUUUCCACACCCGAUUCAAGGAUCGUCAGUGCGCGGCCGCCAUGGAUAGCCUCGAUCCGGAGGCGCGGCUUAUCUACGAUCUCCUCAAGGAAGGCCUCACGGCGGAUCAAGAGAAACGCGCUCGUGAGCAGCAAGACUCGACCGUGAUCGCCGUCCGCAAGAUGUUCGAUGAAAAUACUGCAAGGAUGGACGCCAUCGUCGCCAAAAUCGACGGCGUCCGCGAUGAAUUCAGCACCGAGCUUGCUCAGAUUCGUCUGGAUCUGGACAAGGGAGGAAGAGGUGACCACGACACGGGCGCUACGGGCAGCGUCAAGGGACACGGCUUCUACAAGCCUCCUCCACUCCGAGGUGAGCGCCCCAGUGCCAGUACUCUACACUCUUCUUCGUCCCAACCUACUUCGCCUCACCAUGAACACCUUGACGUUGUUACCUUGGACCUUGCGUGGAAUUGCCGCGUUUCGAUGGCACUAACCCGCAUCUCUAGCAAACCCGGUGUGAGGAUUACUUCCAACUGUGGGGCACCCCGAUGGCACUCUGGAUUCCUUAUGCUUCUGCUCAGUUCGUGGAUGCCGCCGCCCGUUGGUUAGAAUCGUUCCAGCGUCGGUUUCCUAGAGCUACAUGGCCAGAAUUUUGUCAGGUGUUACAUGCCCGAUUCAGUCGUAAUCAGCAUCAGAACUUGAUUAGGCAGCUAUUCCAUAUUUCUCAGACAUCUACGGUGCUUGAUUAUGUUGAUCGAUUCUCUGAGUUAUAUGACCAGUUGCCUGCUUAUGAGAACAUUCCAGAUCCACUGCACUAUCUGACUCGGUUUUUAGAUGGUUUGCACCUACCUGUGCGUAUGGCUGUUUCUCUUCAGAAACCUCAUGAUUUAGACGCUCCUUAUGAACUUGCUAUAUUGCAUGAAGAAUUGGCUGGUACUUCUUCUUCACCACCUACCCUAGACAGUACUCCAUCCCAUCGACGGCCUUUGCCUCUUCCGUUACCGCCGCCGCCGCCGCCGCCGCCAGCAUAGCGCACCAAACUCCAUGAUGAACGUCGCACAAUUGACGAUAAGUGGAUUGCUCUGAGGAAUUAUCAAAAGGCGAAGGGUUUGUGCUUCAUUUGUGGAGAGCGAUGGUCUAAGGAUCAUCAAUGCAAACCAAAUGUUCAGUUACAUUUUGUUCAAGAACUAAUUGACCACUUGCAGUUGGGACUGGAUCAGUCUUCUGAAUACCCGGCAUCUUCUGAUCAGGAGCAAGUGUACUCUCUUUCAUCUGCUGCUGUAGGGCAUGCUACUUCUGCAACUACCAUGCAGCUCACCCUUCAGAUCCAAGGCAGGAUGUUGGUAUUCUUAGUGGAUUCUGGCAGUACACAUACAUUCUUAGAUGCCACUCAUAUUCUGGGCCUACAAAGUGUUCAGAAACUCAAGCCUAUUACUGUCAAGGUCGCCGGUGGUGGUACACUCAAUUGUCAGUACAUCUUGCCUCAUUGUCAGUGGCCCUGCAAUGAUCAUCAGUUUAUCAGUGAUAUCAGAAUCUUACCCUUGGGAGCUUAUGAUGGUAUAUUGGGUCUUGAUUGGUUGACCAAGCAUAGCCCAAUGCAAGUAGAUUGGUCUCAGCGUUGGAUGUCCUUUUAUAGGCAGCAAGAAUUAGUCACAUUGCAUGGUAGUCUCCCUGAUGACUGUCCUAUUACUUUGGUUACUAUAGCAUCUCUACUUCCUGUGAAUCAACCAGAAGUUCCUCCUGCUAUGCAAAGUAUUUUAGAUCAGUAUCCUUCAGUUUUUUCUGCUCCUGUUGGUUUACCACCCAGAAGAAGCUAUGACCAUUGCAUUCCACUAAUUCCUGGCGCCAGACCAGUGACUAUCAGGCCUUACAGAGUAGCCCCACAUCUCAAAACUGAGAUUGAAACUCAAGUAUCUGAAUUGCUUCAGCAUGGCAUGAUCAGGCAUAGCAAUAGUGCUUUCUCUUCUCCAGUUAUUUUAGUUAAGAAGAAAGAUAAAACCUGGAGAAUGGUCGUGGACUAUAGGCAUUUGAAUGCUAUUACCAUUAAAGGGAAGUAUCCUUUACCUGUCAUAGAUGAGUUGUUAGAUGAAUUGUCAGGAGCCUGUUGGUUUUCUAAACUAGACCUUAAAGCUGGGUAUCACCAGAUUAGAUUGGCCCCGGGAGAGGAGUACAAAACAGCAUUUCAAGCUCAUAAUGGGCAUUUUGAGUUCACAGUCAUGGCAUUUGGUCUUACAGGAGCUCCUGGUACAUUUCAAGGAGCUAUGAACACUUCAUUGGCACCAGUUCUGAGGAAAUUUGCUUUAGUGUUCUUUGAUGAUAUCCUCAUCUACAGCAAAACCUUUGAGGAUCACUUAGUUCAUGUUGCUCAAGUUCUUGACAUCCUGGCUAAACAUCAGUGGAAGGUCAAGUUAUCCAAAUGUGCCUUUGCUCAGCAGCGCAUUGCUUAUUUAGGCCAUGUUAUUAGUGGUGACGGGGUAGCAACUUAUGAUAGUAAAAUUAGUACAAUCCGAGACUGGCCUGUUCCCGUUAAUGUUAAGGAGGUCAGGGGAUUUUUGGGCAUCACAAGGUAUUAUAGAAAAUUCAUUCGCCAUUAUGGCUUGAUUAGUAAGCCCUUGACUAAUUUACUCAAGAAAGGGCACGUGUUUGCUUGGACUGGGGAUACUAAAACAGCAUUUCUCACAUUGAAGCAAGCCCUUAUCACAGCUCCUGUCUUAGCUCUCCCUGAUUUUUCUAAGCAAUUUGUCAUUGAGACUGAUGCUUGUGAUGUGGGUAUUGGUGCAGUCUUAAUGCAAGAGGGGCAUCCUUUGGCCUUUGUGAGUAAAGGCUUGGGCCCAGGUAUCAAUCCUUGUCAGUUUAUGAAAAGGAGUAUUUGGCCAUCUUACUUGCUGUUGAGCAUUGGAGAUCUUAUUUGCAUGUAGGUGAAUUUUUGAUUCGCACUGAUCAAAAGAGUUUAGCUCAUCUGGAAGAUCAAAGAUUGCAUACUGAGUGGCAAUAGAAAGCUUUGACAAAAUUGAUGGGCCUCUCUUAUAAGAUACAGUACAAAAAGGGUAGUGCCAAUGCUGCUGCUGAUGCUUUGUCCAGGAAACCAAAUGAGGUUCAUCAUGUGUUGGUUGUUUCUUCUUUACAGCCUAGUUGGCUCUCUAAGGUAGUUUCUAGUUAUACAUCUGAUCCUAAAGCUCAACAACUUCUGCAGCAAUUGUCAAUUUCUCCUGAUUCUCAUCCUGCUUUUAAAUUGAAGAAUGGCUUGUUGCUUUAUAAGAACAGACUGUGGUUAGGACAUGAUAUUGGUCUGCAUUCUAAGGUUUUUCAGGCAUUUCAUAGUAGCCCAGUUGGCGGCCACUCUGGUUUUCCUGUAACCUAUAGAAGAAUUAAAUCCUUGUUUUCUUGGAUUGGCAUGAAGGCUUUUGUUAAGGAUCAAGUUCAAGGCUGUCAGAUCUGUCAACAAGCUAAACCUGAAAGAAUUCCUUAUCCGGUUUGCUUUCUCCUAUGCCAAUUCCUACUUCAGCUUGGGAAAUGAUUUCCAUGGAUUUUAUAAAUGGUUUGCCUGCAUCAGGCCAUUAUAACAGUAUCUUAGUUGUUAUUGACAAGUAUACUAAAUAUGGGCACUUCAUUCCCAUGCAUCACCCCUUUACUGCACAGAAAGUAGCUGAAGCUUUUGUGGAUAAUGUCUAUAAAUUGCAUGGUUUGCCCCAACACUUUAUUUCUGACAGAGAUCCUAUUUUCACUAGUCACUUUUGACAGUCUUUAGCUAAAUUGACAGGUUCUGCCUUGAGAAUGAGCUCUGCCUAUCACCCUGAAACGGAUGGUCAAACUGAGCGUGUGAAUCAACAAGUUGAGUGUUUCUCGCGUUGUUUCAUUAGUGCUCAUCCUACUAAGUGGUCCAAAUGGCUCUCGUCGUGUGAAUUCUGGUAUAACACUAACUGGCAUUCAUCUCUGAACAAGACUCCUUUUGAGGUAUUAUAUGGCCAGCAUCCUACUUAUUUUGGCCUCUCAGCUAAUUCUGCGGUUGCUCGAGUGGAUGUUCAACAGUGGCUUGACCAGCGCAAGGUGAUUCUAGCUUCUGUCCGCCAGCAUUUGCUUCGUGCCAGUCAGCGCAUGAAGCUUCAGGCCGACAAAAAAUGUACUGAACGCAGCUUUCAAGUGGGUGAUAUGGUCUUCUUAAAGUUGCAACCUUAUGUGCAAACUUCAGUGGUUCAUCGCUCCAAUCAUAAACUGGCAUUUCGUUUUUAUGGGCCUUAUCAAGUUUUGGAGAAGAUUGGUACUGUCACUUAUCGCUUGGCGUUACCUGCUACCAGCAGGAUACAUCCUAUUUUCCAUGUCUCCCAAUUGAAGCAAUGCUUAUCUCCAAAGCAUCAGGUACAAUCUGCCUUGCCUACUGAUUCGGCUUCCUUGCAAAUUCCAGUUUGUGUAUUGCAGCGUCGUUUGUCCCAACGUGGUUCUCAUUUAGUACUCCAAGGCCUGAUUCGUUGGAGUGGUGUACCGGAGUCUGAAGCCACUUGGGAGGAUCUGGACUCACUUCGUCAAGAGUUUCCAGCGCCGGGGCAAGCCGCUUCUGAAGAAGGAGGGGGUGUCAGCGACCUGGACAUGGACCACAAGAGCAAUGCUACACCUGGGCCGUCUCCACGGCCCACUCGAGCCCAUCGUUUACCUGCACGUGCAGGCCGAGGGUGGUUUCGCUGAGGCCUGUAAUACUCUAAUACUUGACCAUUGUCGAACCUGGUUGCCGGCUUAGGAAAGGAAAGGAAUGGCUAGGCUAGGCUUAUCUGGAACAUGAACUCGCUGUGUGGGUGGUUGAGAGGAUAAUCACAGC